UUGGUGACCAGCGGAGGGAUCAUUACCGAGUUUUACAACUCCCAAACCCAAUGUGAACCAUACCAAACUGUUGCCUCGGCGGGGUCACGCCCCGGGUGCGUCGCAGCCCCGGAACCAGGCGCCCGCCGGAGGGACCAACCAAACUCUUUACUGUAGUCCCCUCGCGGACGUUAUUUCUUACAGCUCUGAGCAAAAAAUUCAAAAUGAAUCAAAACUUUCAACAACGGAUCUCUUGGUUCUGGCAUCGAUGAAGAACGCAGCGAAAUGCGAUAAGUAAUGUGAAUUGCAGAAUUCAGUGAAUCAUCGAAUCUUUGAACGCACAUUGCGCCCGCCAGUAUUCUGGCGGGCAUGCCUGUCCGAGCGUCAUUUCAACCCUCGAACCCCUCCGGGGGGUCGGCGUUGGGGAUCGGGAACCCCUCAGACGGGAUCCCGGCCCCGAAAUACAGUGGCGGUCUCGCCGCAGCCUCUCCUGCGCAGUAGUUUGCACAACUCGCACCGGGAGCGCGGCGCGUCCACGUCCGUAAAACACCCAACUUUCUGAAAUGUUGACCUCGGAUCAGGUAGGAAUACCCGCUGAACUUAAGCAUAUCAAUAA
This 595-nucleotide ribosomal RNA is filed under the name Trichoderma erinaceum. RNAcentral describes it as "eukaryotic LSU rRNA". The stretch from base 213 to 366 matches the Rfam family "5.8S ribosomal RNA". The record is from RNAcentral. Lineage: Eukaryota; Fungi; Ascomycota; Sordariomycetes; Hypocreales; Hypocreaceae.